RNAcentral lists this ribosomal RNA (235 nucleotides) under uncultured bacterium. RNAcentral describes it as "partial 16S ribosomal RNA". It matches the Rfam family "Bacterial small subunit ribosomal RNA", at positions 96 to 334 of the family's 1533-position model. The record is from RNAcentral.
UGGCGGACGGGUGAGUAAUGUCUGGGAAACUGCCUGAUGGAGGGGGGUAACUACUGGAAACGGUAGCUAAUACCGCAUAACGUCGCAAGACCAAAGAGGGGGACCUUCGGGCCUCUUGCCAUCGGAUGUGCCCAGAUGGGAUUAGCUAGUAGGUGGGGUAAAGGCUCACCUAGGCGACGAUCCCUAGCUGGUCUGAGAGGAUGACCAGCCACACUGGAACUGAGACACGGUCCAA